UACGUAGGUGGCAAGCGUUGUCCGGAUUUAUUGGGUUUAAAGGGUGCGUAGGCGGCCUUGUAAGUCAGUAGUGAAAUACCCCAGCUCAACUGGGGGGGUGCUAUUGAUACUGCAGGGCUUGAGUACAGAUGAGGUAGGCGGAAUGUGACAAGUAGCGGUGAAAUGCAUAGAUAUGUCACAGAACACCGAUUGCGAAGGCAGCUUACUAUGGUUUUAUUGACGCUGAGGCACGAAAGCGUGGGGAUCAAACAGG
This 253-nucleotide ribosomal RNA is filed under the name uncultured bacterium. RNAcentral describes it as "partial 16S ribosomal RNA". It matches the Rfam family "Bacterial small subunit ribosomal RNA", at positions 524 to 776 of the family's 1533-position model. The record is from RNAcentral.